UGCAGUCGAGCGGUAAGGCACUUCGGUGUACACGAGCGGCGAACGGGUGAGUAACACGUGAGUAAUCUGCCCUUCACUUCGGGAUAAGCUUCGGAAACGGGGUCUAAUACCGGAUACGACAACUCCCUGCAUGGGGUGGUUGUGGAAAGUUUUUCGGUGGGGGAUGUGCUCGCGGCCUAUCAGCUUGUUGGUGGGGUAAUGGCCUACCAAGGCUUCGACGGGUAGCCGGCCUGAGAGGGUGACCGGCCACACUGGGACUGAGACACGGCCCAGACUCCUACGGGAGGCAGCAGUGGGGAAUAUUGGACAAUGGGCGGAAGCCUGAUCCAGCAACGCCGCGUGAGGGAUGACGGCCUUCGGGUUGUAAACCUCUUUCAGUACCGACGAAGCGAAAGUGACGGUAGGUACAGAAGAAGCACCGGCCAACUACGUGCCAGCAGCCGCGGUAAUACGUAGGGUGCGAGCGUUGUCCGGAAUUAUUGGGCGUAAAGGGCUCGUAGGCGGUUUGUCGCGUCGGGAGUGAAAACACCGGGCUUAACUCGGUGCUUGCUUUCGAUACGGGCAGACUAGAGGCAUUCAGGGGAGAACGGAAUUCCUGGUGUAGCGGUGAAAUGCGCAGAUAUCAGGAGGAACACCGGUGGCGAAGGCGGUUCUCUGGGAAUGUCCUGACGCUGAGGAGCGAAAGUGUGGGGAGCGAACAGGAUUAGAUACCCUGGUAGUCCACACCGUAAACGUUGGGCGCUAGGUGUGGGGCCUAUUCCAUGGGUUCCGUGCCGCAGCUAACGCAUUAAGCGCCCCGCCUGGGGAGUACGGCCGCAAGGCUAAAACUCAAANGAAUUGACGGGGGCCCGCACAAGCGGCGGAGCAUGCGGAUUAAUUCNAUGCAACGCGAANAACCUUACCUGGGUUUGACAUACNCCGGAAAGCCACANAGAUGUGGCCCCUUUUA
RNAcentral lists this ribosomal RNA (949 nucleotides) under Nocardioides sp. URHB0012. Its description in RNAcentral is "bacterial SSU rRNA". It matches the Rfam family "Bacterial small subunit ribosomal RNA", at positions 56 to 1020 of the family's 1533-position model. The record is from RNAcentral. Lineage: Bacteria; Bacillati; Actinomycetota; Actinomycetes; Propionibacteriales; Nocardioidaceae.